Molecule: long non-coding RNA, 721 nt
Organism: Papaver somniferum (opium poppy)
Lineage: Eukaryota; Viridiplantae; Streptophyta; Magnoliopsida; Ranunculales; Papaveraceae
Exons: 4
Source: RefSeq, a predicted model, not a curated record
UCAUCUUCAUCUGAUUUUCAUCUUCUUCGUUUUCUUCUUCAGUCAAUUCUUCACAGUUGCUCAUGGAUGCCAUGACAAUAAAAGAGAAGCUCUUUUGAAGUUCAAAUCAUCCAUUGUCAUAUUCCCUCCAAAUCUUCUGUCUUCAUGGCAAGAAGGCCAAAUUCAUCGAAAUUGUUGCAACUGGAAUGGAGUUCAGUGCUCUCAUGAGUCUUUACAUGUCAUUUCAAUCAAUCUCCGAGACAAAAAUCGUGAGAAUUACAUAAAUGAAACAAAUAAUGGAAUCUAUGGGAUUGCGUCUCCAAGUGCAUCACUAAAAGUGAAGCUAUGAAGAGCAGCCUCUUCAUCUCUGAGUAACUACGGCUACCCUCACCAAUCAAUCAGGAAAUCACCAAUUCACGAUCAUCAUCAAGUGAUUCAAGUCUUACUAGUUAGUAGCUAUCAAUCAAUCAGGUUAAGUGGUGACUGCCAAGGAUACCAAUUUUUUCUUCGUCUAUCAGAUUCAAUCUAAACCUUUUUGUUUCCAAGGUUGAGGUUGUCCUAUCCAAUCAAUGGCCUUAUUGGAGGGGAAAGUGCAGAUUUGUGGCCUAGGAUUGCAACUUGCAAGUGCAGGCUGUGCAGCCAUCCAUUUUCGUUUGCAAUGAUCGCAUUUCAUUUCUUGUCGACUUGUCGUAGACUGACUUAUAUGGUAGUGGAAAUGUUGUUUUUACUUUUUUAGCAAACU